UAGGGAAUCUUCGGCAAUGGACGAAAGUCUGACCGAGCAACGCCGCGUGAGUGAAGAAGGUUUUCGGAUCGUAAAACUCUGUUGUUAGAGAAGAACAAGGACGUUAGUAACUGAACGUCCCCUGACGGUAUCUAACCAGAAAGCCACGGCUAACUACGUGCCAGCAGCCGCGGUAAUACGUAGGUGGCAAGCGUUGUCCGGAUUUAUUGGGCGUAAAGCGAGCGCAGGCGGUUUCUUAAGUCUGAUGUGAAAGCCCCCGGCUCAACCGGGGAGGGUCAUUGGAAACUGGGAGACUUGAGUGCAGAAGAGGAGAGUGGAAUUCCAUGUGUAGCGGUGAAAUACGUAGAUAUAUGGAGGAACACCAGUGGCGAAGGCGGCUCUCUGGUCUGUAACUGACGAUGAGGCUCGAAAGCGUGGGGAGCAAACAGG
This 429-nucleotide ribosomal RNA is filed under the name Gemmatimonadota bacterium. RNAcentral's name for it is "Gemmatimonadetes bacterium partial 16S ribosomal RNA". It matches the Rfam family "Bacterial small subunit ribosomal RNA", at positions 355 to 776 of the family's 1533-position model. Lineage: Bacteria; Pseudomonadati; Gemmatimonadota. The record is from RNAcentral.